GGGCGAUUAGCUCAGUUGGUUAGAGCGCUUGCUUGACAUGCAAGAGGUCGCUAGUUCGAAUCUAGUAUUGCCCACCA
This 77-nucleotide transfer RNA is filed under the name Kiritimatiellota bacterium. Its description in RNAcentral is "Kiritimatiellaeota bacterium (marine metagenome) tRNA-Val". It matches the Rfam family "tRNA". From Rfam's summary of the family: Transfer RNA (tRNA) molecules are approximately 80 nucleotides in length. Their secondary structure includes four short double-helical elements and three loops (D, anti-codon, and T loops). The record is from RNAcentral. Lineage: Bacteria; Pseudomonadati; Kiritimatiellota.